Molecule: ribosomal RNA, 497 nt
Filed under: uncultured bacterium
Lineage: Bacteria
Description: partial 16S ribosomal RNA
Rfam family: Bacterial small subunit ribosomal RNA
Source: RNAcentral
GAUGAACGCUGGCGGCGUGCCUAAUACAUGCAGGUCGAGCGAACGGACGAGAAUCUUGCUUCUCUGAUGUUAGCGGCGGACGGGUGAGUAACACGUGGAUACCCUACUUAUAAGACUGGGAUAUCUUCGGGAAACCGGCGCUAAUACCGGAUAAUAUUUUGAACCGCAUUGUUCAAAAGAUAAAUACGGUCUUGCUGUCACUUAUAGAUGGAUCCGCGCUGCAUUAGCUAGUUGGUAAGGUAACGGCUUACCAAGGCAACAAUGGAUAGCCGACCUGAGAGGAGGAUAGGCGACACUGGAGCUGAAACACGGUCCAGAGUCCUACGAGAGGCAGCAGUAGGGAAUCGGCCGCAAUGGGCGAAAGACUGGCGGAGCAACGACGAGUGAGAGAUGAAGGGCUUCGGAUCGUGAAACUCUGUUAAUGGGGGAGAACAGAUGUGUAAGUAGCUGUGCACUGCGUGACGGUAACGAGUCAGAAAGCAACGGCUAAAUACGUG